GAGAGCAAAUGUUUAAGCCGUCCUUGUCUACAAUGCUUUCAGAGAAUUCAAUAGUCGUUACGGUCUCACCAGCUGAUUCAGUGUUGCUUGCAACAAAAAAGAUGCUUGAACACAAACUAAGUGCAACCGUUGUAACAGUUGAAAAUAAACCUUGUGGGAUACUGACUUCAAGGGAUAUUUUAAUGCGUGUAAUUGCACCAAAUCUUUCUCCUGAAGCUAUUCCCGUGGAGAAGGUUAUGACUCCAAAUCCAGAAUGUGGA
This 260-nucleotide unclassified non-coding RNA is filed under the name Hevea brasiliensis (rubber tree). Lineage: Eukaryota; Viridiplantae; Streptophyta; Magnoliopsida; Malpighiales; Euphorbiaceae. The record is from RNAcentral.